UUAUGGCCAUAUCAUGUUGAAACAUAAGUUCCUGUAUGACCACUGAAGUUAAGCAACAUCAAGCCUGGACAGUAUCUAGAUGGGUGACCACUUGAAAAUACCAGGUGCUGUAAG
Acanthosepion pharaonis is the source of this 114-nucleotide non-coding RNA. The record is from the annotation of a GenBank genome assembly. NCBI's taxonomy places the organism in Eukaryota, Metazoa, Mollusca, Cephalopoda, Sepiida, Sepiidae.